GAUCUGCAACUACAGGAAACGUUUGGUUGAAGUUAUUGCUGCCAAAGGAGGUUCAACCAGUUAUUAAAUUCAAGGGUUCACAUACUUUUUCCACCUGCACUGUGAAUGUUUACAUGGUGUGUUCAAUAAAAACAUGGCAACAUUUCAUUCUUUGUGUGUUAUUAGUUUAAGCAGACUGAUUGUCUAUUGCUGUGACUUAGAUGAUAAUCAGAU
Molecule: non-coding RNA, 213 nt
Organism: Pelobates cultripes (western spadefoot toad)
Lineage: Eukaryota; Metazoa; Chordata; Amphibia; Anura; Pelobatidae
Source: the annotation of a GenBank genome assembly